Molecule: long non-coding RNA, 1383 nt
Filed under: Sus scrofa (pig)
Lineage: Eukaryota; Metazoa; Chordata; Mammalia; Artiodactyla; Suidae
Description: lncRNA (ENSSSCG00015077295.1)
Source: RNAcentral
GGAGAAGUGAUUGACAGGACAGAGGGACGACUGAAUCCACAGUGGAGACCUCGCCUCCUAAGGAAGGAGGGAGGAGCACACAGGUGAAGGGAGAAAAGAAGUGAAACGCUUUCAGCACCCACGUUUCAGGUCAAAGUGACAUUUUAUUUCUUCGCCCCCACUGCCAAACAGGGUAGGGAUUAUUUCUCGCAUGUUACAGAUGAGGAACUGAAUUCAGGCAGGUGCCCAAGGCUACACGGUGCUUCCUGGCGGAAUGAGGAAUCUAGCUGGAGUCUGGCUUCCUCAAAACCCCUGGCCCCUGUAAACCUGCUGCCUCCAGCCCAGCUCAAAUCAUUGAUAUUCUGAUUGCAGCUCAUCAUAAACGGUAUUUACUCAAGUCCCACUGCUAAGGAUUAUUGAAGGAGAGGAAAAGAUCUUUUGAAAAUACCCUGUAACUCACAUUUUACCUGCCAGAUGGAACAGCCACAUUCCUGCAAAAAGAUCUCUUUGGUGUCUGGCUAACUAGAAGACCACUGGAUUCUGGCAUCGGAUUCUGCCUUGCAAAUUUCUGGCAACAGGCACUGGUCACCUAAGCCUGUUACCUGAGAGCCAUCUUCACUCUACCAAUGAGCGGGUCACCAAGUUCGGCUGAAUAGUCUGCCUGGCUUAUCUUCUGCCUGCAACUCACCAGCCCCAUGUCAGCAUCACGCAGGUGGCCAGUUUUCUUUUACAACUUGGUGGACUCAAAAAGAUGCACAACCUAAAAGUUGAGAGUCAUGUGUUUAUUCAGUGGACAAAACUGAAGCCUUAAACCCAGGAGGCAGCAUCUCAAGCAACCCCAAAACGCCGCUCUGAGGAGGCGAGAGGGAGCCAGGGUGUACAGGGAAGACAGUGGGAACAGAAGAUUCACUGUUAAUAGAGGAAAACCAGAUCUCUCAAGUUAAGGAAUUUAGUGAUUUUCUCUAAAUGGGAAGAUGCAACGUUCUGGGCUCACUGAGAUCUCUCCUUUGCUGUGCACCUCGGGUCUCUGGGGCCAGGGUCCUGUGUUCUCACAUCCUGGGGAGUGGCUGCACUCUGAUGGCUGCUGGACAGCAGGUGUCUAUGCUUCCUUCCUGCCUCCCUCAGGGCUCCCCUGGAGGUGGCUGCCAUCGCUGAUGACUGAGACAUCUUUGUUUACGGAUAAGGCAGGCGCUAUUUUAUGUCUCAGGUACCAAGUGGGACCCCCAAGUCUGGCUAACCCUGACUUCACGUGUUCUCAGGGUGUGGGUUACAAUCUUACGGGUCUUGGGUGUCUAAGCCUCACCCAACAGCAUCACAGGGUGGAGCGUUGCGGAGGGGAUGGCAGAGAGAAAAGGGACCAAGGAACAUUCCAUCAGCUUCCACCUGUGCUGCACUCAAGCUCUU